RNAcentral lists this ribosomal RNA (442 nucleotides) under uncultured bacterium. Its description in RNAcentral is "partial 16S ribosomal RNA". It matches the Rfam family "Bacterial small subunit ribosomal RNA", at positions 338 to 795 of the family's 1533-position model. The record is from RNAcentral.
CCUACGGGUGGCAGCAGUGGGGAAUAUUGGACAAUGGGGGGAACCCUGAUCCAGCGACGCCGCGUGAGUGAAGAAGUAUUUCGGUAUGUAAAGCUCUAUCAGCAGGGAAGUAAGAAAUGACGGUACCUGACUAAGAAGCCCCGGCUAACUACGUGCCAGCAGCCGCGUUAAUAGGUAGGGGGCAAGCGUUAUUCGGAUUUAUUGGGUUUAAAGGGUUCGUAGGCGGUCCGGAAAGUCAGCGGUAAAAGCCCGGGACUCAACCCCGGCGAGCCGUUGAAACUGUCAGACUAGAGACGGCGAGAGGUACGCGGAAUGCGCGGUGUAGCGGUGAAAUGCAUAGAUAUCGCGAAGAACUCCGAUUGCGAAGGCAGCGUACCGGCGCCGGACUGACGCUGAGGCACGAAAGCGUGGGUAUCGAACAGGAUUAGAUACCCGAGUAGUC